Molecule: transfer RNA, 68 nt
Filed under: Actinomycetota bacterium
Lineage: Bacteria; Bacillati; Actinomycetota
Description: tRNA-Glu
Rfam family: tRNA
About the family: Transfer RNA (tRNA) molecules are approximately 80 nucleotides in length. Their secondary structure includes four short double-helical elements and three loops (D, anti-codon, and T loops). Further hydrogen bonds mediate the characteristic L-shaped molecular structure. tRNAs have two regions of fundamental functional importance: the anti-codon, which is responsible for specific mRNA codon recognition, and the 3' end, to which the tRNAs corresponding amino acid is attached (by aminoacyl-tRNA synthetases). tRNAs cope with the degeneracy of the genetic code in two manners: having more than one tRNA (with a specific anti-codon) for a particular amino acid; and 'wobble' base-pairing, i.e. permitting non-standard base-pairing at the 3rd anti-codon position.
Source: RNAcentral
GUCGAGGUAAUCGACCGAGCCGGCCUUUCAAGCCGGAAACGCCAGUUCGAAUCUGGUCGGGACUGCCA